Molecule: non-coding RNA, 384 nt
Organism: Xyrichtys novacula (pearly razorfish)
Lineage: Eukaryota; Metazoa; Chordata; Actinopteri; Labriformes; Labridae
Source: the annotation of a GenBank genome assembly
AGACUACUGUCCUUGGAGGAGCUUCUGCAGGAUCAAUUUCUCCACUCCCAACAGAUCCAGUCCAUCUGAGCGGUCCGAUCAAUAAAAAUGCCUCUCCUCUUAGUUGAACUAAUUCACCGCUGGGUUGGCUAGUUUGCCUUUGAGACGCAGGUAAAGGUCAAUCCUCUGGCUUUUUUUAACCUCUAUCUAAGCUGUUUUGAUACCGUUGAAAACAAUGAGUCAAUCAGGUCACCUAGUUGACUAACACGAGCGUUUCAAACAUUUGUCUUUCCAUGCAGUUGUCUGGGAGGUGGAUUAAUGAAGCUGGGAUACUCCCAGGUUUCACAAUGCCUGGCAGAUCGUGAAUAUGAACGCCUGAGCAGCAGCAGCAGCAGGAGAAAACAG